RNAcentral lists this transfer RNA (73 nucleotides) under Ovis aries (sheep). It matches the Rfam family "tRNA". From Rfam's summary of the family: Transfer RNA (tRNA) molecules are approximately 80 nucleotides in length. Their secondary structure includes four short double-helical elements and three loops (D, anti-codon, and T loops). Lineage: Eukaryota; Metazoa; Chordata; Mammalia; Artiodactyla; Bovidae. The record is from Rfam by way of RNAcentral.
UCCUUGGAUGUCCAGUGGUUAGGACUCCGUGCUUUCACUGCAGGGGGCCCGGGUUCAAUCCCUGGUCAGGGAA